RNAcentral lists this ribosomal RNA (639 nucleotides) under Epimeria cornigera. RNAcentral describes it as "12S ribosomal RNA". The record is from RNAcentral. Lineage: Eukaryota; Metazoa; Arthropoda; Malacostraca; Amphipoda; Epimeriidae.
CAUAUAAUUAUUAAUAUCCUAUAUUAAAAGCUAGUCUUUUAAUUAAAGUAGUUAAUUGAAUUAAAAAAGUAAAGAGAAUUUUUAGUUGAGUGAAUUGAUUGGUUAAAUUUGUGCCAGCAGCUGCGGUUAGACUAUGGAUUAUGCGAUAAAGUUUGGAUUUUGAUUUAAAUACACGAUAAAGUGAUAAUUUUGGUGAAAUAAAGUUAGGUUUAGUUUAUAAGUGAUAAUAAAGCAAAGACAUUUUGGUAAAAACUAGGAUUAGAUACCCUUUUAUUAGAAGUAAUUAAAUUCUAGUAAUUAUUUAUAAAGUAAGAGAACAUGACGGCUUUAUUAUUCUAGGGGAACUUGUUAGUGUAAUCGAUAAACCUCGUUUUUUCUUUUUUGUAUUGGUUUUGUAUACCGUCAUUUAGGUAAUUUGAUGAGAAUUAAUUAUCUUGAUUUUAUAAGAAGAUUAGAUCUAGGUGCAGAUAUAUAUAAAUACUAGUUAGUUACAAUAUGUAGUAAUUUACGAUAAGUUAAGGUUAUAGGAGGACUUAGAAGUAAAACAGAAGUAUAGAAAGGUAGUAUGAAGUGUACAAAUUGCCCGUCAUUCUCUUUGAGACAAGUCGAAACAAAGUAGAACUUACGGAAGUAGGGUCU